RNAcentral lists this ribosomal RNA (1077 nucleotides) under Anthostomella flagellariae. RNAcentral's name for it is "partial 18S ribosomal RNA". It matches the Rfam family "Eukaryotic small subunit ribosomal RNA", at positions 40 to 1142 of the family's 1831-position model. Lineage: Eukaryota; Fungi; Ascomycota; Sordariomycetes; Xylariales; Xylariaceae. The record is from RNAcentral.
AAGAGUUAAGCCAUGCAUGUCUAAGUAUAAGCAAUUAUACCGCGAAACUGCGAAUGGCUCAUUAAAUCAGUUAUCGUUUAUUUGAUAGUACCUUACUACUUGGAUAACCGUGGUAAUUCUAGAGCUAAUACAUGCUAAAAAUCCCGACUUACGGAGGGAUGUAUUUAUUAGAUUAAAAACCAAUGCCCUUCGGGGCUCCUUGGUGAUUCAUAAUAACUUCUCGAAUCGCAUGGCCUUGCGCCGGCGAUGGUUCAUUCAAAUUUCUGCCCUAUCAACUUUCGAUGGCAGGGUCUUGGCCUGCCAUGGUUACAACGGGUAACGGAGGGUUAGGGCUCGACCCCGGAGAAGGAGCCUGAGAAACGGCUACUACAUCCAAGGAAGGCAGCAGGCGCGCAAAUUACCCAAUCCCGAUACGGGGAGGUAGUGACAAUAAAUACUGAUACAGGGCUCUUUUGGGUCUUGUAAUUGGAAUGAGUACAAUUUAAAUCCCUUAACGAGGAACAAAUGGAGGGCAANNNNNNNNNNNNNNNNNNNAUUCCAGCUCCAAUAGCGUAUAUUAAAGUUGUUGCAGUUAAAAAGCUCGUAGUUGAACCUUGGGCCUGGCUGGCCGGUCCGCCUCACCGCGUGCACUGGUUCGGCCGGGCCUUUCCCUCUGGGGAACCCCAUGCCCUUCACUGGGUGUGGUGGGGAACCAGAACUUUUACUGUGAAAAAAUUAGAGUGUUCAAAGCAGGCCUAUGCUCGAAUACAUUAGCAUGGAAUAAUAGAAUAGGACGUGUGGUUCUAUUUUGUUGGUUUCUAGGACCGCCGUAAUGAUUAAUAGGGACAGUCGGGGGCAUCAGUAUUCAAUUGUCAGAGGUGAAAUUCUUGGAUUUAUUGAAGACUAACUACUGCGAAAGCAUUUGCCAAGGAUGUUUUCAUUAAUCAGGAACGAAAGUUAGGGGAUCGAAGACGAUCAGAUACCGUCGUAGUCUUAACCAUAAACUAUGCCGACUAGGGAUCGGACGAUGUUAUUUUUUGACUCGUUCGGCACCUUACGAGAAAUCAAAGUCUUUGGGUUCUGGGGGGRRUAUUGYYG